GGGUGGGUCCUAGCAGCGCGGCCUGACGGGACCAAGGCGGCGGGAGUCUGCGGUCGUUCCCUCGGCUGUGGACCGGGCGGCACGCACGCGGUGCAGGGUAACAUGGCGGAUGCGGAAGUAAUUAUUUUGCCAAAGAAACAUAAGAAGAAAAAGGAGCGGAAGUCAUUGCCAGAAGAAGAUGUAGCCGAAAUACAACACGCUGAAGAAUUUCUUAUCAAACCUGAAUCCAAAGUUGCUAAGUUGGACACGUCUCAGUGGCCCCUUUUGCUAAAGAAUUUUGAUAAGCUGAAUGUAAGGACAACACACUAUACACCUCUUGCAUGUGGUUCAAAUCCUCUGAAGAGAGAGAUUGGGGACUAUAUCAGGACAGGUUUCAUUAAUCUUGACAAGCCCUCUAACCCCUCUUCCCAUGAGGUGGUAGCCUGGAUUCGACGGAUACUUCGGGUGGAGAAGACAGGGCACAGUGGUACGCUGGAUCCCAAGGUGACUGGUUGUUUAAUCGUGUGCAUAGAACGAGCCACUCGCUUGGUGAAGUCACAACAGAGUGCAGGUAUGUGGGAGAGGGAGGGAAGGACUGGCUAGAGUGAAAAGCUUUCUGUAUUUCCCUUCUAUGUUUUGUCUGCUGGAAACUAUUUCUUCAUUAAGAAAAAAAAAAAUCCUAAAGCAAGGAUAUUGUUUUGGUUUCUGUGUACGUUCUGUCCCCUGCCAGAUCUUGGUGGUCCGCGCUUUUUGGAAUUCCACAUACUAAGCAUGUAUUCAUCAAGCUGACUGGAUCCAUUUGUCCGGGUUCAGCUCUCAGCUUGUCACUCCAGGCUUCUCACUCUGUGCUACCGCUUCUGCCUAAAGUAUCCUUCGUUCAUUUUUAUCUGAGAAAAGCCUGCUUAUCUUGCAAGGCUUUUUCCACGCAGCUUCUACACUGAGUACUCCCAACUGUCCCUGUUAGUACAUUGAAUUCCCAGUGAGAAAGUGUCUUCAUUCUUUCCCACAUCAUCACCAUGAAAUCUCUCUUAAUGCAAAUUUUAUAGAAACACAAGGUCAAACUGCCGCUUUUCCUGCUGUGCAAAAUGGGAGUGACUGAGCAUAUAAGAAAUAUGGAAAACAGAAAACUCAGUGGCCACACCUGACUACUCUUUUGUCAUUUUUCAGGCAAAGAGUAUGUGGGGAUUGUCCGGCUGCACAAUGCUAUUGAAGGGGGGACCCAGCUUUCUAGGGCCCUAGAAACUCUGACAGGUGCCUUAUUCCAGCGACCCCCACUUAUUGCUGCAGUAAAGAGGCAGCUCCGAGUGAGGACCAUCUACGAGAGCAAAAUGAUUGAAUACGAUCCUGAAAGAAGAUUAGGAAUCUUUUGGGUGAGUUGUGAGGCUGGCACCUACAUUCGGACAUUAUGUGUGCACCUUGGUUUGUUAUUGGGAGUUGGUGGUCAGAUGCAGGAGCUUCGGAGGGUUCGUUCUGGAGUCAUGAGUGAAAAGGACCACAUGGUGACAAUGCAUGAUGUGCUUGAUGCUCAGUGGCUGUAUGAUAACCACAAGGAUGAGAGUUACCUGCGGCGAGUUGUUUACCCUUUGGAAAAGCUGUUGACAUCUCAUAAACGGCUGGUUAUGAAAGACAGUGCAGUAAAUGCCAUCUGCUAUGGGGCCAAGAUUAUGCUUCCAGGUGUUCUUCGAUAUGAGGACGGCAUUGAGGUCAAUCAGGAGAUUGUGGUUAUCACCACCAAAGGAGAAGCAAUCUGCAUGGCUAUUGCAUUAAUGACCACAGCGGUCAUCUCUACCUGCGACCAUGGUAUAGUAGCCAAGAUCAAGAGAGUGAUCAUGGAGAGAGACACUUACCCUCGGAAGUGGGGUUUAGGUCCAAAGGCAAGUCAGAAGAAGCUGAUGAUCAAGCAGGGCCUUCUGGACAAGCAUGGGAAGCCCACAGACAGCACACCUGCCACCUGGAAGCAGGAGUAUGUUGACUACAGUGAGUCUGCCAAAAAAGAGGUGGUUGCUGAAGUGGUAAAAGCCCCGCAGGUAGUUGCCGAAGCAGCAAAAACUGCGAAGCGGAAGCGAGAGAGUGAGAGUGAAAGUGACGAGACUCCUCCAGCAGCUCCUCAGUUGAUCAAGAAGGAAAAGAAGAAGAGUAAGAAGGACAAGAAGGCCAAAGCUGGUCUGGAGAGCGGGGCCGAGCCUGGAGAUGGGGACAGUGAUACCACCAAGAAGAAGAAGAAGAAGAAGAAAGCAAAAGAGGUAGAAUUGGUUUCUGAGUAGUGAAGGCCACUUGAAGCUGGAGGAGAAACUAAAGCCUUAUUGAGAAAACAUGUUAUAGAUCCUUUUGUUGCUGAGAGAGUGGAACAUAGGUCCUAGACAGGGUGAAGAGUUCUGGCACAUUUUAGCUGCUACUUUGAGACCUCGGUGAUGUUACCUGGUGUGGUCAUCCCAUCUUGUCCUGUUUUAAGGAUAUGGGUGGUGAAAGAUGAAAGAGGCAGAGUUUAUCCCAAUGACUUCUCUGUUUGAGUUGGGAAGCCUCACCUUCAGACCCAGUAACUGUCCGCAGCUGUCUGCUAGUGGUUGUCUUAACAUCGUAGUCCUAGUUUGCAUUUUUUAAAUCCCCUCUGUUUAAAAGGUUUGUAAAACAAAAACAAAAAACUAAGUCUGCUCAGUGAAAUGCUGUAGAACCCUAAAUAAGUGGUAGAAGAGUGUCACUGAAUUUUGUCUCUGAAUUCAGUAUAACUGAGUUUUGUCCAUGCUGGUGUCUGGGUUAUAGGCCUGAUGGGCCUGGUAGUUUUCCAUCUUGUUCUGGCCUAGAGGUCAGUCCUUUGCACUUCCUCAAAGCUUGUGUACAGUGCUCACCUAAAUCCAUCUGACUACUUGUUCCUGUGCCCUCUUGUUUUAGGCCUCGUUUACUUUUAAAAAAUGAAAUUGUUCAUUGCUGGGAGAAGAAUGUUGUAAUUUUUACUUAUUAAAGUCAACUUGUUAAGUUUUUUAUGUAUUCCUGUUGGGUUUUCUUGUUGAUCUCAUGCUAGCAGAGCAAAAAUUGUAAAAUAUUUUGAUUAAAAAUCUAGGGACCUUUAUGUCCUAUUUGAAAUGUGA
This is an RNA transcript of Homo sapiens (human), 3065 nucleotides long. It is a transcript of the gene named dyskerin pseudouridine synthase 1, with no coding region annotated. The transcript is spliced from 14 exons. Lineage: Eukaryota; Metazoa; Chordata; Mammalia; Primates; Hominidae. The record is from RefSeq and is marked reviewed.